CAACGAUAAUGGCAAACGUAUCGAAAGAUAGGGACGCAAAGCCACGGGUCUAACGUGUAAAAACUAUGACAGCCGGGUUACCGAA
Molecule: non-coding RNA, 85 nt
Organism: Aneurinibacillus migulanus
Lineage: Bacteria; Bacillati; Bacillota; Bacilli; Caryophanales; Paenibacillaceae
Source: Rfam